CCCCAUCCACAAUUAGGAGUGGAACAGCUGCUGCCAGCUUGAGGGGCUCUGUGGCCAGCAGGAAAUAAAACGCCUCCGGCUUCAGGUCGCUGCUGAAACAAAUCCUGGCCGGCCUCACAUAUGCUUAAUCGGGGAAGUCUGCGCCCGGCUCUGCCCACCCUGUGCUGCCUCUCCUGGCGCGGCUGGAGCGCCCGGCUCGGGGCAGCUGCCGCCCAGCCUGCCCGCCUCUCAGCAGCUGGGCGGGAGCGCCUGGGCUGCUCUGGACACUCCUCUGACCGGGGCUCGGCGCCUUCAGUCGCAUUUACAGCCCGGGGAGGAAGCUGGGGUAAAGUUCAGAAGCAGUUUGCAGGGAGUUUUAGGCAAUAUCCUGCAACUCUUUCACAGGCCCUGAGCUGGGCGCUCCUCUCCCACAGGCUCGGUAAAGGGUCAAGCUUCAGAAACAGGAUUCUCCCCUUCUCCCUCGAGGGGGAAGGAGCUGGAGGCGAGCUGAGCGCCCCGGGGCAGGUGGUUAACCCCGGAUCUGACUGCACCUUCCCAGAAUUCAGGGGGGGGUGGUCCGCAUGACGCCCCUUAGAAGACCCCAGUGACUUUGUGGAAGAUGCAAGUGCGGCUGGAAACGCUCAGGGGCAGUGGAGCCCACCGGUCAGCUGGGGUCCUCGUCCCACAGUGGCUGAGGGACGUUACAAGCUGUCAGCUGAGAAUGACUCCAGCCACGGAGCCGGCACUCAGCGGCUCGGAGGGCUGCCCGCUGGGCAUCCUCACGGGCGGCCAUUCUCCCUUCUACUUUGCCUCUAAGAAAAUUAUUCACUUACUCUGUCUAAGAAGAAAAACAAACACUCUUUGAGAUACACGAAGCUCAUACGUGUUUAUCACAGGCCAGCCAACCAAAAACACUAGCAAGCAAAUGGUGUUUCUUCAUGUAAACUGAGGCAACCCCAAAGUGGCUCCGGGCAGGAGAGAGGCCCUUGGGGUGCGGUGCCUGUCCUCCAGCCCCCAGCUUUAAGGAGCUGCUGGGCAGAGGCAGCUGGGGAGUCAGGCGGUGGUGGGCCAGCCAGUGCUGGAGGAAGCCUGAGGCUCGCAGACCAUCUUGGUACUUCUCCCCACAGCCAGGAGGGUGAUUAGUUCACGACAACUGCACUUCCUGGGGUGUCUGACUGAAGCAACCCUGAGGGCUAAACCCCUGGCCCCGUGGGUCUGAGCCAGUCACCACGGGCCGAGAGCAUGUCCUUCUCUGCAUCUGCCUGAGCUCACGCUGCCCAGGCCCCGGCUCUUCAAGUCUGCCAGCCAGCGAUAGGAGGGGGCUCGCCUCAACAGUCCCGGCCUUUUAUCUCCCGCUGACCUGCCCGUGCAGCAACACGAAGCCAGUGCCGGGCUUCCUGCAGCUUGCCGAGAGGGGCUGUUUGACUCGUUCAAAGUAUGACUGGCCUCCAAAACCCUGGAACCGUGCCGAGCAACACCCACCCAACAUCCAUUUCAGUUCCAGCUUUAAAAGCCUCUGAGCGCGGGGGCCUAGCCCUCCCUAGGCCUGCGAGUGGGAGAGGUGGCCGCUUCCCAGAACUUGCUUCCCAGGCUCACACACACAUGUGCUUUCUGUCCACAGCUAAACGAAGGGCCUCUCUUCAUCCAAGUCCAGAAAGCCCAGGAGUCAGCUACAGUAGCUCCAGUUAAUGUCUGCGUUUACACUGCUAUUAUUAAAAUAAUUCAGGAGCAUUUAAUAACAUCCCUUGAUCACGGGAACGCAGGCAGCACACCACGUGCUCCCC
Bos taurus (domestic cattle) is the source of this 1763-nucleotide long non-coding RNA. Lineage: Eukaryota; Metazoa; Chordata; Mammalia; Artiodactyla; Bovidae. The record is from Ensembl.